AACGCGAAGAACCUUACCCAGGUUUGAAAUCUAGUGGAAGUGUGCAGAGAUGUACACGUCCCGCAAGGGACUGCUGGACAGGUGCUGCAUGGCUGUCGUCAGCUCGUGCCGUGAGGUGUUGGGUUAAGUCCCGCAACGAGCGCAACCCUUAUUCUUAGUUGCCAUCAGGUAAAGCUGGGCACUCUGGGGAGACUGCCGGCAUAAGUCGGAGGAAGGUGGGGAUGACGUCAAGUCAGCAUGGCCCUUACAUCUGGGGCUACACACGUGCUACAAUGGCCGAUACAAAGGGCAGCAAAACCGCGAGGUAGAGCGAAUCCCAUAAAGUCGGUCUCAGUUCGGAUUGUAGGCUGCAACUCGCCUGCAUGAAGUCGGAAUCACUAGUAACCGCAGAUCAGCUACGCUGUGGUGAAUACGUUCCCGGGCCUUGUACACACCGCUAGUC
This 442-nucleotide ribosomal RNA is filed under the name uncultured bacterium. RNAcentral describes it as "bacterial SSU rRNA". It matches the Rfam family "Bacterial small subunit ribosomal RNA", at positions 958 to 1398 of the family's 1533-position model. The record is from RNAcentral.